Sus scrofa (pig) is the source of this 7227-nucleotide non-coding RNA. NCBI's taxonomy places the organism in Eukaryota, Metazoa, Chordata, Mammalia, Artiodactyla, Suidae. The record is from RefSeq and is a predicted model, not a curated record.
UGCAGCCCUAAACAGCAAAAAAAAGUUUUUCAGUGACCACACUAACAGAAGUGGCUUGACCGCAACCCUCAGGCACUGUUUAGCUUAUUCUUCUCCUUCGUUACACACUAAUAUUGUCAAAAAAAGACCCUGGGUAUUAGCUUAUUUAAUAGUAUCUGAUAGUUAAUGUGUGCAAAGCCUGACCUAAGUGCUUUAACCAUCUACCCUCAGUGGAUUCUCCAACUACUAUUCUUCUCAUAUUACAGAUGAGGACUAGAGACACCAUAACGUUAAUUAAUGGUGUUCCCUGGUGGUCUAGCAGUUAAGGGCUCAGAGUUGUCACUGCUGUAGCUGGGGUUAUUCCUGUGGCCAAAAAAGUUUACUUGUGCAAGGUCACCCAUAUGAUUCCAUGAGGCACAGAACCUCAACUAAGGUAGAGACUGUCUUGUUCACAGCUCUUUCCCUGGCAAUUUAGAACAAAAACGGUGCCUAACAUAUUAUAAGCACUCAAUAAAUAUCUAGAUUCAGUUAACAGAUAUAAGGCAUCUAGGAGGCAUUGGAGUACAAAGCAGUGAAAAAAUAUUUAAAAAUUCAUGCCUAAAUGGAGCUUACAUUGAACGCUCUCAGGCCUGCACCCAAUUAGCCACCCUAGAUAUAAAUAUGUACGUGUAUGUACAUUUCAUUUGGUGCUAUCAACCCUGAAAAUUAGGGCCUACCCACUUUGCAGAAGAGUAAACUGAGGGUCCAAGUGGGGCAAUGUUUUGCCCAGGAUCCAGGGGCUUAACAGGAGGCAGGGCUCUAGAUUCCAACCCAGACCGGGCGGUUCCCAGGCAAUCCUUAUGCAUUAAUCAAACCGACCAAUCCAAUCACCCAAUCAGUGUUUAUUUGGGCCUACUGCGUGCAGCUCCUCUUCCAGCGCAGGCCAGGAAGGGAGGAGGUUGUGCUGCGCAGGCGGCUUCGGAGACCGGGGAGUUACAGCCAGAUCGCGGGAAUUUGGCGCCCAUUUUCUGCUGGUUAGGUGUUCUAGCCUGUGAUUGGGCCUCGGCGCGGCGUGAGUACGCCCGGCUGCGGCUGGUCGGCCGACCUUGGCAGGACCCAGGCGGCGCGGUACUCUUCCGGCCUCCCGGGGGAUGGGCCACCAGGAGCCCCCGCUGGCCCGAGUGCGGGCCGGACGUGAGGCUUAUAUAAAAGGGUUACGUAAAGGGCUCAGCUGGCGCGAACACGUGGAGAGCCGCGGGAGCCCCUACGCUCAGUUCUCCCCCGAGAGCGCCGCUGCCAUCACCCGUGCGGCCGCAAGCUCCAUUGCACGCUCGGCCCGGGCCAACGCCUCUCGCGCCGCUCCGUACCGGAGGCAGCCCUGGCCCGGAGCGGACCAUCCCCAACCCGGGGCCUUAGAGGGGAAACGGGCUGCCCGGAAGUGGAAAGGAGCCGGCCAGGUCACAAUCCAAGGUCCCGAUCCUCCGCGUCCCGGGGCCGGACGGAGGGAUGAGGCAGGGGGGGCCCGGGCAGCGCCGUUGCUGCUCCCCCCGCCGCUCGCAGCCAUGGAAACGGGGGAAGAGGACGGCGCCCGCAGAGGUACACAAAGCCCCGAGCGGAAAAGGCGAAGCCCAGUGCCGCGGGCGCUCAGCGCGAAGCUGAGGCCGGCGGCGGCGGCCCAGGCCAUGGAUCCGGUGGCGGUCGAGGCCCCGGGCGAGGCCUACCUGGCGAGGCGGCGGCCCGAGGGCGGCGGCGGGUCAGCGCGGCCGCGCUACAGCCUGCUGGCGGAGAUCGGGCGCGGCAGUUACGGCGUGGUGUACGAGGCAGUGGCCGGGCGCAGCGGGGCCCGGGUGGCGGUCAAGAAGAUCCGCUGCGACGCCCCCGAGAACGUGGAGCUGGCGCUGGCCGAAUUCUGGGCCCUGACCAGCCUCAAGCGGCGCCACCAGAACGUCGUGCAGUUUGAGGAGUGCGUCCUGCAGCGCAACGGGCUAGCUCAGCGCAUGAGCCACGGCAACAAGAACUCGCAGCUUUACCUGCGCCUGGUGGAGACUUCGCUCAAAGGAGAAAGGAUCCUGGGCUACGCGGAGGAGCCCUGCUAUCUCUGGUUCGUCAUGGAGUUCUGCGAAGGUGGAGACCUGAAUCAUUACGUCCUGUCCCGGAGGCCGGACCCCGCCACCAACAAGAGCUUCAUGCUGCAGCUCACGAGCGCCAUUGCCUUCCUGCACAAAAACCACAUCGUGCACAGGGACCUCAAGCCAGACAACAUCCUCAUCACGGAGCGGUCUGGCACCCCCAUCCUCAAGGUGGCAGACUUUGGACUCAGCAAGGUGUGUGCCGGGCUGGCGCCCCGAGGGAAAGAGGGCAAUCAAGACAACAAAAAUGUGAAUGUGAAUAAAUACUGGCUGUCCUCAGCCUGCGGCUCAGACUUCUACAUGGCCCCUGAAGUCUGGGAGGGACACUACACCGCCAAGGCCGACAUCUUUGCCCUGGGCAUUAUCAUCUGGGCAAUGAUCGAGAGAAUCACUUUCAUUGACUCUGAGACCAAGAAGGAGCUCCUGGGGACCUAUAUCAAACAGGGGACUGAGAUCGUCCCUGUUGGUGAGGCGCUGCUAGAAAACCCAAAGAUGGAGUUGCACAUCCCCCAGAAACGCAGGACUUCCAUGUCUGAGGGGAUCAAGCAGCUCUUGAAAGAUAUGUUAGCUGCUAACCCACAGGACCGGCCCGAUGCCUUUGAACUUGAAACCAGAAUGGACCAGGUCACAUGUGCUGCUUAAAAUUCAGGGCAAAGCAUCUUGGGUGUUUUUAAACUAGUUUAUCCAGCCAUCCAUGGGAAUCCAGCAGCAGCCGGACAGACAUGAUAUUGGCCUUCACGGAACAUGGUCUGGGGUGACACGUGUCGGAGGAGGGAUCUGGACACCGAGGGAUCUGGCACCACCCCUGUCCUAAGCAUGCAUCAUCCAGAUGCCCUGGCCUGGCCCGGCCCGCAUGUGGGCUGGGUCUGGAGUCCUUGAGUCCCACCUCCUGCUGGUCAGAGUCCUGGGUGCCGCAGCCGCAGGAGGGAGCAGGCUGGGAGAGCGGUGAGGACAUUCAAGAAAUGACAGCUGCAACACGUAAGUAAAGGAGUCAUUAGGAGACGUUGAGAAGGAUGAAAGGCACAGAGCCAGAGGGGGGCUGCUUGGGGGGGGGGGACUGCAGAACUCAUGGAUUUGGAAAGGACCUCUCCACGCCAUCAGCCCACCUGCGGCCUCAGCAGCAGCAGGUGCCCGCCCUCCCCAGAGUCAUAAUGUUUCUUUUAGCUCUUAAUCUGGACCAUAUAUCACAAUUUCAUAGGCACCAGUGCCAUGAGAGAUGAAGACCUAAACUGCUAGAGACUUUUAAUUCGGCUUCAGACAACCCCUGCCCCGCCCCCGCCACUGGCCUGCUGGCCUGGAGAGCCCGAGACAUCUCCUCUGCCGCCCACCGGUCCUGACAUCCUGGAGCAAAGGUUCCCCGGCUCCCACCUUCCAGAAGCAGCUGUCAUGAAGGGGGCAGGGGCUGGCCCACUUUCUGGUAGGAGGUGGGGAGCAAAGUCCUGCAUCACCCACUGCAGCUGGAGGGAGAACGAGGCCAGUGCAUGAGCCAGCCGGGUGCAGCAGUCAGCAUCCACAGAGCACGCCCCCUACUGGCUGCCCCUGUGAAAUCACACUUGUUUGAUUUUUGUCUUGAUUUGCCACCCCGGGGCCAAAACAGGACUUUGAAGGCCAGGGCCAGACCCGGGUCUAAUUUGCUUCUGGGAGGGGCUGGAUCACCCAUUCCUUUGUGAACCAGCGCCACGGCCCUUCCCACUCGGCUUGCCCAGAGUAAUUCACAAAAGCAGAAUUGCAAGCCCUGGCAUGGGACGCACAGAACUCACAGACCCAAUCAUCUUCAAAUUCGCUCACAUCCAUGAUCAUACGGAUUUGGCAGAAGUACGAUUUCCUCUUUCAGAAAGAAGGCGGUGGACACUGAGGCUAUGAGCUGGUCUAGAACCUAAGUUCCUGCCCCUCAGUUCAGCGUCUUUCCAUCACUCAGGCUGUGUCCCCCCUUCGUGAAGAUCUUAGGGAAGCAUAUUUUUUUUAACUUUUUGUUUUGUUUUGUUUUGUUUUGUUUUAGAAUUGAAAUACAGCAUAGUUGAAAAACAAACACAAAUGAGGGCACAAUUCAGUGAAUUUCACAAAAAUUUCUCUCUAGCUUCAAGAUCCAGGUCAAGAAAUAAUAUUUCCCCAGAAGUUCCAAAGUUUGGUGUCACUGCUCAGCCACCAUCCCUGGAAAACACUUUUUACUUUCUGUUUGGCUUGUGGUGGCAUUGUAACUGUUCUGGCAAGAAUUUCCAUUCUUGGGGAAAAAACCCCAGAGUUUCCAGGGAGACAGUGUUUAAAGAUAUAAGAGCACCAGGCUGGGGGCUGGAGAUUUGGGGUCUAUGACUUUGGCUGUGUCACUUCUGUUCCCUGGACCUCAGUUUCCCCAUCUAAAAAACUUGGUGAUUUCCUCAAGAACAGGAGCUGAAACCCUCUCUGGGAGCCCAAGGUUGUCAGCAUCCUUGAUUUCAGGUUCUCUCUGGGACAUUGGGGCUCUGCAGCAGCUGGCAGCAGAGAGCUACACUGACCCCUAAUAACUGUCCUGUGGGGCCCGGGCUCAGCAUAUGUGUGUCCCCUUUGGUGGCUGCUAAUAAAAGCCCAUAAUAGGUGUGUCUUGCAUUUAGGAUGUAAACUGAUAACAACUUUUUUUCUUUCUUUUUAGGGCUGCACCAGCGGCACAUGGAAAUUCCCAGGCUAGGGGUUGAAUCAGAACUACAGCUGCUAGCCCACACCACAGCCACGGCAACACCAGAUCUGAGCCGCAUCUGCUACCUUCACCAGAUCCUUAACACACAGAGUGAGGCCAGGGCUCAGACCACUUCCUUACGGACACUAUGUUGGGUUCUUAAUCUGCUGAGUCACAAUCAGAAUGCCUCCUGAUAAUGCCUUAUAAUUGUCCAUACUUGCUAACUUUUACUAUGUGCUUAUAGCACCAGGAUGGGUGGUAGUUCCUGCCCUCAGGGAGGGCACCAUCUCAGCGAACCUACACUGCCAGGCAGCUAGCAAAUGCCAGAUGAAAAGCCCAGAUGAACAAGGCUGCAGGAGCUCAGAGGAGAGGGGACUGUAACAGUAAUCCAAGAGUUCUUCCUGGAGGAGGCAGCUCCAGGAUCUGGACCUAAAAGAUUAUGAACUGGUCACAAUGACUCUUGCUAAUUUGUAUAGAACAGAGUUUACACAGAGUAGUAGGUGGCUUACAGAAUUGUUGGAAAGAGUGAAGAAACGACCCCAGGUUCACCUUCCAGAAGUGACUCCCAAAGCCACACUGCAGAACUGGGCCUCCAAGUGAGUUCUCUCCCCUACCACAAUGAGGAAGCUGCCUGCAGAAGUGAGAAAUAGCUGCUCUGCUUGCUGGCUCCAGAACCACACUGCAUCUGCUGUGACCCACGUGGGCAAAGCCUGUGUCCUGCCUCCCUCCCCACCUCACUCAGUUCUACACUUAAGUCUUGCACACAUGCAUCUGAUUGGUCAGAUGAUAGUACAUUCAAAUCCCUAGCUGCCCAGGAGUCUGCGAAAUGUGUGCCUAGCUUUUCAUCCACUGCAGCAGAGAAAGUUACCCUGGAAAUAGGUUCAACUAGAUAUUGUUAGAAUUCACCAGUGCAACUAUUUGGGGUGUAGUGUUCUUUGUCAAAGGGUUUGUAGUAACGAACUUAAUCUCUUUAACUGCUAUAGAGCUGCUCAUAUCUUCUGUUUCAUCUUGUGUCAGUUUUACUGUUUUUGUUCAUUUUGGAAUGUGUUCCAUCUAAAUUGUGGAAUUUGUUAACUAGUUUAGAUUAUCAUCAAGCCAAUCCACUCUGUCCUCUACACGUGAAUAAGCUUUGUUCUCCUCAGAAAUGGGAGAUGCUGGGAUGGUUUUCACAUGUUUGUGCAAGAGCUAGGUCAGCUGCUUAGAAGUUGACAAAGUAUGGAGGGUAUGGGGACAUAGGGCUCUUUAUGGCCAGGCCACUUCCUUAGGUGGGAUGAAACAUCCCAUGUCCACCAUCCACAACUACAGAAGCUAAAUUAUUUGAUGUAUUGGGAUGGAGAAGGGGAGAGGUUUACUGUUUCUUGAGUACAGAGGACACCUUAGGGAAUGCCUUGUCUAACUUUCUCUGGAAACUGUUCAACCACCCAAACCAUAGGGUAGGACCCAGCCUACCUCCCGUAGCUGAUUGGACCAAGGGUAGACUCUUUAUCUUGGCUGCACCAAUCUCUUUCCUGGAAAUAGAGAUGUGGGACCAAGAAUGUAGUUUGGGCUGAUCUCUUGAAUGGAAGAGGUCGAAAAACAUGGUUCUUGGUGCCCAGCAGAGAAGUACAGCAGAGAUGCAGUGAGUGACGGGGGAGAGAUUUUCAUGAAGGACUGGUUUCCAAAUCUGCACUAUGCCUUUGUCCUUGAAGCUCCAGAAGAAAGAUCUAUAUCCCUGUAAUUCUUUUCCCUUAAGCUACCUCGGAGGUAUUUACAACCAAGAAUCCCAACUAUUGUAAUUGGAUUCUCCAAGAAAACCUCCCUUGUCAUCUCCCUUAAUUCAGCUGAUUAAAACAAAGUGGUAUGAGAAUGGCAGAGAGAGGAGAACUGUUUGUUGAACAUAUAUAUGUGUGUAUAAUGUAUGUAUAUAUAUCUGUGCCUGUGUUCAUAUAUAGAUAUAUACAUAUAUAUGCAAAUGAACGUGCUUAUUUAUGCAUGCUCAUUGCAUAAUAAUAUUAUGCAUAAUAAUAUUAUGCAUGCUCAUUGCGUAUAAGCCAACAGAAGUUGAAAAUCUCAGGGUGAGAUGAUAUAUAUAUAUAAAGAUGAUACAAUAUAAAGAAUGUCAUGACACAAAGACAAACAUCAUAUGAUAUCACUUAUAAAUGGAAUCUAAAAGAAAAACAAUGCAAAUGAUCUUAUUUGCCGAACAGACACCAACUCACAAACGUUGAAAACCAACCCCUGGUUAUCAAAGGGGACAGGUUUUGGGGAGGGAUGGACUGGGGGUUUGGGACUGGCAUAUGCACACUGUGGUAUAUGGGAGGGUGGCCAACAGGACCUGCUGUAGAGCACAGGGCACUCUACCCGAUGCUCUGUGACAAUCUACGUGGGAAGAGAAUCUAAGCGAGAAGGUGUGUGUGCGAACCACUUGGUUGUACAGCAGAAAUGAUCGCAACAUCAUACAUCAAUUAUACUUCAAUAAAACUUUAAAAAAUGGGAAGUUCCUGUUGUGGU